ACAGGCCAGUAGUUAAAUUUUCUACGGAUGAGUCCUUGUCGGAUGGAUGGUGACUAACGAGAUGCACUUCUUUGCCACAAGUAAUUUUAAUAAAGGGAUUGUGUACAAGUGUUCAGAUCUUUUCUUGUGAGAAGGAUGCACAAAAUCAAGUUUUUUGUCGGUAGGAGCUUUUUUCGCUGUCCAACUGUUCAGUUCCACUGGAACAAGGGGUCCACUGGACUUCUAUUGUUUCCGAACUUGAUGUGGAUAAAAUCAACCAGAGUAUUAUGGUGAAACCAAGUUUCACCACUUGACAACUUACAGGGCCUUUCAAGGAAUUGUUCCUGUCAAAAAUGAGGGGCCAAUGUAUGAUGUUCAGUGAUCUUCUUCAGGUUCUGAAUUUGUUGUGGUCUAUGGAUAUAUCCUUACAUCGUCCUU
Triticum aestivum (bread wheat) is the source of this 417-nucleotide long non-coding RNA. RefSeq lists it as uncharacterized. NCBI's taxonomy places the organism in Eukaryota, Viridiplantae, Streptophyta, Magnoliopsida, Poales, Poaceae. The transcript is spliced from 3 exons. The record is from RefSeq and is a predicted model, not a curated record.